Molecule: ribosomal RNA, 390 nt
Filed under: uncultured bacterium
Lineage: Bacteria
Description: bacterial SSU rRNA
Rfam family: Bacterial small subunit ribosomal RNA
Source: RNAcentral
GACGAACGCUGGCGGCGUGCUUAACACAUGCAAGUCGAGCGGUAAGGCCCUUUCGGGGGUACACGAGCGGCGAACGGGUGAGUAACACGUGGGUGACCUGCCCUCAGCUCUGGGAUAAGCCUGGGAAACUGGGUCUAAUACUGGAUAUGACUCCACGGUGCAUGUCGUGGGGUGGAAAGCCUUGUGCGGCUGAGGAUGGGCCCGCGGCCUAUCAGCUUGUUGGUGGGGUGAGGCCUACCAAGGCGACGACGGGUAGCCGGCCUGAGAGGGCGACCGGCCACACUGGGACUGAGACACGGCCCAGACUCCGUACGGGGGCAGCAGGUGGGGAAUCUUGCGCAAUGGGCGAAAGCCUGACGCAGCGACGCCGCGUGAGGGAUGACGGCCUGG